This 253-nucleotide ribosomal RNA is filed under the name uncultured bacterium. RNAcentral describes it as "partial 16S ribosomal RNA". It matches the Rfam family "Bacterial small subunit ribosomal RNA", at positions 524 to 776 of the family's 1533-position model. The record is from RNAcentral.
UACGUAGGAUCCAAGCGUUGUCCGGAUUUACUGGGUGUAAAGGGUGCGCAGGCGGCAUGGUAAGUCAGAGGUGAAAUCUCAUCGCUCAACGGUGAAACUGCCUUUGAUACUAUCAUUCUUGAGUCCGAUAGAGAUCUGUGGAAUUCCGAGUGUAGCAGUGAAAUGUGUAGAUAUUCGGAAGAACACCAGUGGCGAAGGCAGCAGAUUGGGUCGGUACUGACGCUCAGGCACGAAAGCAUGGGGAUCAAACAGG